RNAcentral lists this ribosomal RNA (252 nucleotides) under uncultured bacterium. RNAcentral's name for it is "partial 16S ribosomal RNA". It matches the Rfam family "Bacterial small subunit ribosomal RNA", at positions 524 to 776 of the family's 1533-position model. The record is from RNAcentral.
UACGUAGGGUGCAAGCGUUGUCCGGAAUUAUUGGGCGUAAAGAGCUCGUAGGCGGUUUGUUGCGUCGGCUGUGAAAUCCCGAGGCUCGACCUCGGGUCUGCAGUCGAUACGAGCAAACUAGAGUGUUGCAGGGGAGAUCGGAAUUCCUGGUGUAGCGGUGAAAUGCGCAGAUAUCAGGAGGAACACCGGUGGCGAAGGCGGAUCUCUGGGCCUUACCUGACGCUCAGGCGCGAAGCUAGGGGAGCGAACAGG